This 274-nucleotide ribosomal RNA is filed under the name uncultured bacterium. RNAcentral describes it as "partial 16S ribosomal RNA". It matches the Rfam family "Archaeal small subunit ribosomal RNA", at positions 473 to 747 of the family's 1478-position model. The record is from RNAcentral.
AAACCAGCACCUCAAGUGGUCAGGAUGAUUAUUGGGCCUAAAGCAUCCGUAGCCGGCUCUGUAAGUUUUCGGUUAAAUCUGUACGCUUAACGUACAGGCUGCCGGGAAUACUGCAGAGCUAGGGAGUGGGAGAGGUAGACGGUACUCGGGAGGAAGUGGUAAAAUGCUUUGAUCUCUCGAUGACCACCUGUGGCGAAGGCGGCCUACCAGAACACGUCCGACGGUGAGGGAUGAAAGCUGGGGGAGCAAACCGGAUUAGAAACCCGAGUAGUCC